This 1655-nucleotide long non-coding RNA is filed under the name Triticum aestivum (bread wheat). RNAcentral's name for it is "long non-coding RNA (TAES_LNC003750)". Lineage: Eukaryota; Viridiplantae; Streptophyta; Magnoliopsida; Poales; Poaceae. The record is from RNAcentral.
AUGCGUUCAUGUGCGUGCGUGCGUUGUGUGUGCUUGUGGCAUGCGUGUGUGUCGCUGGGUAGGCGUGAGAGCCGGAGCUAGCUAGCCAGGCCGAACUUGGUGGCUGCUAGGUGUGGUUGUUAGCGCAUGCAUGCACUGGUAGUUAGCUGGUUAGCCGGCCUGGAGUUAGUGGCCGGUAGUGGUGGCCGUGUGGUGCGUGCGUGGGGGUCUGUAUGCUUGGCCGCUGCGUUACGUGAGUAUAAAGGCCAGGCGAUGUAGUACGAGAGCCGUGGUGCUCUGGGAACGAGUUCGUGCUCGUGGGUGUUGGCGUUUGAGCGCCGGAAACCUCUUGUGUCCACCUGUGUCUUCUUCUUCCCUUCUUCUUCUACCUCGGUCUGCAGCAGAACAAGAGAGCUGUGAGAGGUAGGCGAGAGCUAGGGCUAGUCGGCAACAACAAUUGGUAUCGGAGCAUCGGGUUCGGAGGAGCUCGCCGGCGAUGGCGCUCGUCCCGUGCGGCGGCGGAGCACGGUGAUGCCGGGCGUGCGGAGAGCGCGGCGGCCGCGGCGGACCUGCGCGGUGGCGCAGAGGCUGCGGUGGCGCGGCGCGGCUCGGCGGAGGGAAGGCCAAGCUCCGGGACACGCCGGAUCGGCCGCGUUGGUCGCCUCGGAGCGCGAUCAUGGCGCGGGCUGGUGGCGUGCGGAGCGUGGCAGAACAAGCCGCGGCGACGGGCUCACCGCGUCGGGCGCGUGUAUGGGCGCGCGCCAGACGUAGCGGGCACGUCGGGAUCGCGGGUGCGGACCACGUCGGGGCGCUGGACCCGGUUGCGCAGAUCGCGUAUGUGCGCGGCGGGAGCGCGGGGACGUGGGGAGUGCGCGCGAAGGGCACGGCGGUCGCGGAGACGAGGAGGUCGCGAAGGACCUGCGUGGUGGCGCAGAGGUCGCGAUGGCUCGGGCGACAAUCGUGGAAGGUGCGUGACACGUAGGCGCGCGCGUGGCGGCUGCCAUGGCAGACGCGGAGGCGGCACGCGGUGAGCGUCUGGUGCUGUCGGGCUCGUCGGGUGCGACGGAUGCGCGCGGGACGUGCGGGACGCACUGGUGCGAUCGGGCUCGUCGGGCGCGUUGGGUGCGCGCGGGACGUGCGGGGCGCAGAGGGACGCCAGGCGUGUGUCGCCGGCGGAGAAGGAGCUCGGCGUAUGUUGCCGGAGUCAUGAUGGAGCACGGUGCAACCGGCGUCGUUGCGGCAGGUUGGGUCCGCGGACUGGGUCACGACUAUGACGACGACAAUGACAGGAGCUGCAACAACUUCGACGACAGCGAGAUCAUGGCUUAGGAGGAGAAUGUUAGAAAUAAGCCAUGCGUUCAUGUGCAUGCGUGCGUUGUGUGUGCUUGUGGCAUGCAUGUGUGUCGCUGGGUAGGCGUGAGAGCCGGAGCUAGCUAGCCAGGCCGAACUUGGUGGCUGCUAGGUGUGGUUGUUAGCGCAUGCAUGCACUGGUAGUUAGCUGGUUAGCCGGCCUGGAGUUAGUGGCCGGUAGUGGUGGCCGUGUGGUGCGUGCGUGGGGAUCUGUAUGCUUGGCCGCUGCGUUACGUGAGUAUAAAGGCCAGGCGAUGUAGUACGAGAGCCGUGGUGCUCUGGGAACGAGUUCGUGCUCGUGGGUGUUGGCGUUUGAGCGCCGGAAA